AGCUAAUAGAUACCCGGGUAGUCCUGGCCUUAAACGAUGAAUGCUUGGUGUCUGGGGUUUUAUAGUCCCCGGGUGGCCGUCGCUAAACGCUUUAAAGCAUUCCGCCUGGGGAGGUACGGUCGCAAGACUGAAACUCAAAGGAAUUGACGGGGACCCGGCACAAGCGGUGGAGCAGGUGGUUUAAUUCGACGCAACGCGAAGAACCUUACCUGGGCUAGAAUGCCUCUGACCGCCAUAGAGAUAUGGCUUCCUGGGUAAAACCAGGCAGAGUGCAAGGUGCUGCAUGGCUGUCGUCAGCUCGUGUCGUGAGAUGUUGGGUUAAGUCCCGCAACGAGCGCAACCCUUAUCAAUAGUUGCCAGCGGUUCGGCCGGGCACUCUAUUGAGACUGCCGUUGACAAAACGGAGGAAGGUGGGGAUGACGUCAAGUCCUCAUGGCCUUUAUGUCCAGGGCUACACACGUGCUACAAUGGCAAGUACAAAGCGCUGCAAACCUGCAAGGGGGAGCCAAUCGCAAAAACGCUUGUCUCAGUUCGGAUUGGA
Molecule: ribosomal RNA, 541 nt
Filed under: uncultured bacterium
Lineage: Bacteria
Description: bacterial SSU rRNA
Rfam family: Bacterial small subunit ribosomal RNA
Source: RNAcentral